This 5881-nucleotide long non-coding RNA is filed under the name Homo sapiens (human). RNAcentral's name for it is "HSALNT0107764". Lineage: Eukaryota; Metazoa; Chordata; Mammalia; Primates; Hominidae. The record is from RNAcentral.
UGAAAAUUAAAUAAAUUAAAAUUAAAUAAAAUUUAAAAUUCAGUUCCUUGGUCACACUAGCUACAUUUAAGUGCCCAUUAACCACACUGACUAGUGAAUAUCAUAUUGGAUAGCACAGGGCAUAGAGAAUUUCCAUUAGCACAGGAAGAGCUAUUGGACAGCACUAUACUAGCAUAUAUGAAGUCUCCAAAUGUGAUACAUAACAGGAGUUUUAACAUUAUAAACAAACACAAUGCGAAAUUUGGAAAGAAAUGAAUCACUACCCAGAAAAUAAAUAGUUAAUAGAAUAAUACAGCAAUUUGAAUUGUCCUUUGAUGAAAAUUUUGGUCUCUGUAUGGCAAACUGAUAUGUUUAGCCCAUAUAAGUUACAUUUGAUAGUUACAAUAGAAUAUAUAAAAAUGUUUAUUAAUACAGCAGAAUGUUGUAUACCAACAUAUUUGAAAACUUUUCAGAUGCAAUUAUUCAAAGACAUCUUAUGUGAAACUUAAUAUAGACCUGGUGAGUUUGCAAUAUUGAUAGAGGGCCUCUUCCUGCUCACAUGGUGGGCUUCCAGGACUGCUGGUAUCCAGGGUAGCCCUAAGUCAUCAGCCCUAAGCAAAAUCUGAGGUAUCAAAAAUAAAUAAAUACAUGAAUAAGUAAAUAAAUACCCUUACCAGAGUAGGAGAGAGUAAUUUAAAAACUUGAAUAUUAAGUCUGGGUGUGGUGGCUCACGCCUGUAAUCCUAGCACUCCGUGAGGCCAAGGCAGGCGGAUCAUGAGGUCAGGAGUUUGAGGCCAGCCUUUCCAACAUAGUGAAACCCCGUCUCUACUAAAAAUACAAAUCAUUAGCUGGGCAUGGUGGCAGGUGCCUGUAAUCGCAGCUACUUGGGAGACUGAGCAGGAGAAUCGCUUGAACCCAAGAGGCAGAGGUUGCAGUGAGCUGAGAUCAUGCCACUGCACUGCAGCUCAGGCAACAGUGUGAGACUCUGUCUCAAAAAAGAAUAUUAAGGAUCAGAACUAAACCUAAGUUAGCAGUGAGGCCCCUCCCUAUUCAAAUAAUAUCAAAAUACUUUUUUAUUAAUAACAACCUGAACAUUUACAUUUUAUCUGUUAACCAGCACUGCUAAAUAGAAAACAACAUUCUGGGAAAAUAAAAUUGGUAAUUCUGUCAUGACUAAGAACAGGAUUAAAUUUUAGAAGGUAACUCAUGCUUUUUACUCUUAUGUACCAGAGGUUAAAGAUGACUACAAGGGCAUUGUUAAUAUAUUUCCAAUGAUAAGAAUACCAAAACAAUUAAAAAUGCCUUCCUUUCAGGAUAACAAAGGAAUUUUUGUAACAUUCGGUACCAUAUGAUAGAAAAAUAGCCACCAUGGAAAUGAAGAUUACUUAACUGGCUUAUAGAAAAUUAAUUACUUCAUUUUGAUAUGCAUUUGUCAUGCAUAAUUUACUAGAAAGUGAUAGUUGUGUGAAAUAAUGUGUAAAAAUUGCUUUACAUUUAUCAAUGUAAGUGAUUGGUUCUUAAAUUCUUUCUAAUUGAAAAAAUAUUACUAAAGAUCAGAACUGAAGUAUUUUGGGGGCAAAAACUUAAAAAUAUUAAAUAGGUGCAUCAUGUCAUCGUGCUCUUGUUUAAAAGCUACAAAAUUCCUUUUGAACAACCAACAUAACACCAAGAAGUUUGGCAGGAAUCAUUAUGGGAUGUUGAUUUCUUAUGCUGUUUUUGUUUUGGUUUUCCUGAUUCAUUCUCUGUCUAACACCAGUUGAAUUAGAUAAUUUGAAUCAGAUCAGCUAUGAUGAUGCCAACAACAUUUUAAGCUUUGGUUUCUCAUGUCCUAAAAUAGCAAUAUAAAACACAAAGAAAUGAUGAGCUUUUUUUUUCAUAUGUUUGUUGGCCACAUAAAUGUCUUCUUCUUAAAAAUGUCUGUUCUUAUCCUUCGUCCACUUUUAGAUGUUUUUUUUUUUCUUUUUUUUUCUUUUACAUUUGUUUAAGUUCCUUGUAGAUUCUGGAUAUUAAACCUUUGUCAGAUGGGUAGAUUGCAAAAAUUUUCUCCCAUUCUGUAGGUUGCCUGUUCACUCUGAUGGUAGUUUCUUUUGCUGUGCAGAAGCUCUUUAGUUUAAUUGGAUCCCGUUUGUCUGUUUUGGAUUUUGUUGCCAUUGCUUUUGGUGUUUUAGUCAUGAAGUCUUUACCCAUGCCUAUGUCCUGAAUGGCAUGGCCUAGGUUUUCUUCUAGGGUUUUUAUGGUUUGGGGUUUUACAUUUAAGUAUUUAAUCCAUCUUGAGUAAUAUCAUUUGAGAAAUACCAUUGAGAAAUACCAUUUGACCCAGCAAUCCCGUUACUGGGUAUAUACCCAAAGGAAUAUAAAUUCUUCUAUAGAGACACAUACCCAUGUAUGUUUAUUGAAGCACUAUUUACAAUAGCAAAAUCAUGGAACAACUCAAAUGCCCAUCAAUGAAAGACUGGAUAAAGAAAAUAUGACACGUAUACACCAUAGAAUACUAUGCAGCCAUAAAAAAGAAUGAGUUCAUGUCUUUGCAGGGACAUGGAUGAAGCUGGAAACCAUCAUCUUCAGCAAACUAACAUAGGAACAGAAAACCAAACACAGCAUGUUCUCACUCAUAAGUGGGAGUUGAACAGUGAGACCACAUGGACACAGGGAGGGAAACAUCACACACAGUGGCCUGUCGGGGAUGGGGGGCAAGGGGAGGGAGAGCAUUAGGACAAAUACUUAAUGCAUGCGAGGCUUAAACCUUAGAUGACGUCUUCUAAACUUCUCUUCUGAAACUUGAUCCUGUUCUUAGUCAUGACAGCAUUAACAAUUUUAUCUGUCUCUUUCUGGUUGAUUGGAACAGGAAACCACCAUGGCACAUGUACACCAAUGUAACAAACCUUCACAUUCUGCACAUGUAUCCCGGAACUUAAAGUGAAAUAAAACUAAACUAAACUAAACUAAACUAAACUAAAAUAAAAUAAAAUCUUUUUGGGAAAAAAACGUUAAGUACUAAGUCUCAGUGACUAGUGGGACAACAGAAAUGGGGCAAGUUCUAAAGAAAUGUAAGACACGCACUCUUUAUUCUUAAGGACAAUAUAGUUAAGGAGAACACAAUUAUCAAGUAUUUUUAACCCCACUUAAAGGUGUGAGCAAAUAAAAUAAAAUAAAAUAUUUUAUUUUAUUUUACACACAGCAGCAACGUCAAGGCACUAUAUAAAUAAUUGGCCGUGAAAAAGACCCUUUUAGAAACAACAACUCUCCUCUUGUGUGGCCAGUCCGCUGGAUUUCUAUGAUUAGAAAUAUAGUAAGAUAUGUCUAUGCCCUUUUAUUCAUCUUUAACCUUUUGGUACUUAGAAGUGAAAAACACAAGUUGGCUUCUAAAACUUGAUCUUGUUCUUAGUCAUGACAGCAUUAACAAUUUUAUCUGUCUCUUUCUGGUGAGUGUAUUAGAAGGCGUUAGAGACUUAUGCCACUGACUUUACAGCAUUUGCUUUGGGUUCUAUCCUGAAGCAGCAAGGAUGCCUACAAUAUGAAGUACAUAAAGCAUUAACACAUUUAAAAUAGAUCCAUUAGCAAACUAGCACUUCAUUACUCUAAACUCCAGUUUCAUUAGUCAUAGUUCUGUUCAUUAACUGGGUUGAACAGAUUGCUACCUGAUUUCUAAGGUGUUAAAAAGCAUUUUAAAAAAUGGGAGUCGAAGGAAACCUACUGACAACCGAAUAUUUUCAAAAAAUACAAAGUUAACAUCCUUUCUUAUCAUACUAGAGAAAAAUUACUAAAAUGUUUCAGGAUAUCUCCUUUUAAUUAUAGCCUAGAAGCAAUCUCUAAAUAGCCAAAUUUUCUUUUGUCCCCACCAAGCGCCAAGUUGUAUUAUUUUUUAAUCCAGAGUUUAAAAUGUACUUUUGUUUACUAUAUUGCUUCCUUUUUAAACAGGAAAUGCAGCUGUUCAUGAUUAAGAGUCACCUACUUGGAAACCUAAAUCACAUUAAAUAGUGUUCAUCACCAAAAAUAGUUAGAUGAGCUUUGAAACUUGUAAAACUAUUGAAAUUAAUGUUCAGUCAUUCUUCCCAAAAAAAGGAAAACAGAUUUGAAAGUUUCGGUAGUAAAUGUUAAUAUUCUGUAGGAACUGGGUAGUCUUACUAAAAUAGCCAUGUUUGUUAGGAGAUAGUAUCUCACAAUGUUUGACAAUUGACAAGGUUUGUUUCUCCUAAUAAGAAAAGAUUACUGGCUUGUACUCCCCUUGGGUAAAAUGUUAUAUAGAACUCUAGAAGACAAAGGAAUCCAGAAAAAAAAGGAUAAAGGAUAAAAAGGAUAAAGCUGAAGAGACAAAAGUAAAGGCACAUAUUGUCAUUUGCUGGAGAUAUCAAAUAAACAAGGAAACAGUAUAACCAUCUGCCCUUCCCUCCUCAAUACAGCAAAUCACUUUUGAAGGACUCCCAGUUUUCAUGUGUUUUGCUCAUCUCUUGGUAGGAGACACAAUUUGCUAUGGAUCCUGAGCAUCCUUGUGCUUUCUGGCUGGUUAUGCCAAGAAUACAAGGCCCUAAUUACUCUUUACUUGGAUGAUUUAUCAGGACUGCACUUGCAGCUAGUAACAUAAAGAAUGGAUAGCAUCUAUCCCCAAAGUAAGAGCAGGUUUGCUUCCACUUACUUUACAUUCCAUGAGCUCACUGUUCCUACCCUGCAAUAUAACCCACUUAGUGUACAGGCAUCUAACCUGGACACACUUUCAUUGCCCUGUGGGAUGUAGGGCAAGCCAAUAUGAAGGCCUGGCUUUUAAUUUAUGGUGUGUAAUAGAGUCCUUGUUUUUGACCCAAGAGUUAUGUCUUCUGCCAGCAUCCAUGACACAAUAAUAGACUAGCUUAUUAACUUAAAGUAUAUUAAAAUCUCAGAUAUGCAUAGUUCUUUACAUUUUAUAUUCUCAUAAAACUGCUUAUAGCGGCACUAUUCACAAUAGCAGAGACUUGGAUCCAACCUAAAUGUCCAACAACAAUAGACUGGAUGAAGAAAAUGUGGCACAUAUACACCAUGGAAUACUAUGCAGCCAUAAAAAAUGGUGAGUUCAUGUCCUUUGUAGGGACAUGGAUGAAACUGGAAACCAUCAUUCUCAGCAAACUAUCGCAAGGACAAAAAACCAAACACCGCAUGUUCUCACUCAUAGGUGGGAAUUGAACAAUGAGAACACAUGGACACAGGAAGGGGAACAUCACACACCGGGGACUGUUGUGGGGUGGGGGGAGGGGGGGGAUAGCAUUAAGAGAUAUACUUAAUGCUAAAUGACGAGUUAAUGGGUGCAGCACACCAACAUGGCAAAUGUAUGCAUAUGUAACAAACCUGCACGUUGUGCACAUGUACCCUAAAACUUAAAGUAUAAUAAUAAUAAAAUUAAAAAAAUAAAAUAAGGAUAAAACACUGAUUUUUACAAAUAUAAUACAAAAUUAUUAACCCCAAUUUUUUUCAUUUUUCUUCAGUACAUGUUUUAACAGGUAAAAUCCCAAAUUGUGUUUGUGUUACUAUUGUAAACUUAACGAAAUUAUUUAAAAAGUCAUGAGAAUUGUAUUUUGCCAUUAAUGAUAUUAGGCCUUUAGUAAAGCAACUAGAGAGUAAAUACUAGACAGUGCCAGAUAACUGAGUUUACAUUGUAGCCAAGACACUUCCUCGUGGGCUGUGAUCUCCUGAAAUUAUUUCUCAUUUUCCUAAUCUGUUAAGUAGGUGUAAAGAUACAGAACAUGCCAUAUAGGCUUGAUUUUGGUUUUUAACAAAGUAACUGUGUAUGUAAGUGUGUCACAUACUGGCUUUUACUGGUCUCCCAAUGCAUGCUUGUUAUAUAUGUUUAUGAAUGGUGUUCACUUGAAUUGUAUAUUAUUAAUUUUAUUUUUAAAUAUAUACAACUUCCACGUAUGUCUCUUGAGGUUUGUUA